GAGUGGACUCUGAACUGAAUUAGUAAGAAAAAGGAAUAAAGCUGCAGUAAUGUGCUCAUAUUUAACUCUAUUUAAUUUGGUAUGCUAACUAAAGAACAAGAUACAAGAUGGCCUUGAAGGAAUUUUUAUUCACUUGUACGGCUCUUUUUGUUGUCUUAAUUCUGCUAACUUCACAGGCAGCAACCUGCAGCAGGAAACUGGGACAUUCUUCCUCCGGGCAUUUUCUGAAUAAUGGAGAGAGCAGGGUGAAGCUAUUAGAGAACAAAGUUGGAGGAGGGGCUGGGGCUGUACGACCAGAUGAUCCUUGGAAGGGAAACUAUUGAUCUCUUAGGCAUAAAUCUUUAAAUUAUCUAUGAUGUAGUAUAUCUUGUAUUCUGAACACCAAUUAAUGGUGUUAGCUAGUGAUCAUACAUAUAGUUUGAGCCUGAGUCCUACCUCAGAAAGAAAGAAAAGAAGCAUAUACACAUAGAAAUAAAUAAAUAAAAAAGGUUCUGAUGUUAUAA
Ricinus communis (castor bean) is the source of this 503-nucleotide long non-coding RNA. RefSeq lists it as uncharacterized. The record is from RefSeq and is a predicted model, not a curated record. The transcript is spliced from 2 exons. Lineage: Eukaryota; Viridiplantae; Streptophyta; Magnoliopsida; Malpighiales; Euphorbiaceae.